Molecule: ribosomal RNA, 452 nt
Filed under: uncultured bacterium
Lineage: Bacteria
Description: partial 16S ribosomal RNA
Rfam family: Bacterial small subunit ribosomal RNA
Source: RNAcentral
GAUGAACGCUGGCGGCGUGCCUAACACAUGCAAGUCGAGCGAUUUACUUCGGUAAAGAGCGGCGGACGGGUGAGUAACGCGUGGGUAACCUGCCCUGUACACACGGAUAACAUACCGAAAGGUAUGCUAAUACGAGAUAAUAUGCUUUUAUCGCAUGGUAGAAGUAUCAAAGCUUUUGCGGUACAGGAUGGACCCGCGUCUGAUUAGCUAGUUGGUGAGGUAACGGCUCACCAAGGCGACGAUCAGUAGCCGACCUGAGAGGGUGAUCGGCCACAUUGGAACUGAGACACGGUCCCAACUCCUACGGGAGGCAGCAGUGGGGAAUAUUGCACAAUGGGCGCAAGCCUGAUGCAGCAACGCCGCGUGAGCGAUGAAGGCCUUCGGGUCGUAAAGCUCUGUCCUCAAGGAAGAUAAUGACGGUACUUGAGGAGGAAGCCCCGGCUAACUACGUG